RNAcentral lists this unclassified non-coding RNA (354 nucleotides) under soil metagenome. RNAcentral's name for it is "partial contains 5.8S ribosomal RNA, internal transcribed spacer 2, and large subunit ribosomal RNA". The stretch from base 1 to 120 matches the Rfam family "5.8S ribosomal RNA", at positions 35 to 154 of the family's 154-position model. The record is from RNAcentral.
GAUGAAGAACGCAGCGAAAUGCGAUAAGUAAUGUGAAUUGCAGAAUUCAGUGAAUCAUCGAGUCUUUGAACGCACAUUGCGCCCCCUGGCAUUCCGGGGGGCAUGCCUGUCCGAGCGUCAUUUCUGCCCUCCAGCCCGGCUGGGUGUUGGGCGCUGUCCCCCCGGGGACACGCCCCAAAGGCAGUGGCGGCGCCGCGUCGGGUCCUCGAGCGUAUGGGGCUUUGUCACCCGCUCGGGACGGACUCGUCGGCGCUGGUCUUCCUCCAGGCGACCCUUCGGGGCUCGUCUUCCUUCGGUUGACCUCGGAUCAGGUAGGGUUACCCGCUGAACUUAAGCAUAUCAAUAAGCGGAGGA